This 704-nucleotide ribosomal RNA is filed under the name uncultured bacterium. RNAcentral's name for it is "bacterial SSU rRNA". It matches the Rfam family "Bacterial small subunit ribosomal RNA", at positions 37 to 774 of the family's 1533-position model. The record is from RNAcentral.
UGGCGGCGUGGAUUAGGCAUGCAAGUCGAGGGAAUCCCAGCAAUGGGGGAACCGGCGUAAGGGGCAGUAAGGCAUGGGUACCUACCUUUGGGUUCGGGAUAGCCAUCAGAGAUGGUGGGUAAUACCGGAUGACGUCUAGCGACCAAAGAUUUAUCGCCCGGAGAGGGGCCCAUGUGAUAUUAGGUAGUUGGUGAGGUAACGGCUCACCAAGCCGAAGAUGUCUAGCGGGUGUGAGAGCACGACCCGCGCCACUCGCACUGAGACACUGGCGAGACACCUACGGGUGGCUGCAGUCGAGGAUCUUCGUCAAUGGGGGCAACCCUGAACGAGCGACGCCGCGUGUGCGAUGAAGGCCUUCGGGUUGUAAAGCACUGUCGAGGGGGAGAAAAGCCGAAAGGUCUGAUCUAUCCCUGGAGGAAGCACGGGCUAAGUUCGUGCCAGCAGCCGCGGUAAGACGAACCGUGCGAACGCUGUUCGGAAUCACUGGGCUUAAAGGGAGCGUAGGCGGGCUGUCAAGUCUGGGGUGAAAUCCCGCGGCUCAACCGUGGAACUGCCUCAGAUACUGACGGCCUCGAGGAAGGUAGGGGCGUGCGGAACUGUGAGUGGAGCGGUGAAAUGCGUUGAUAUUCACAGGAACUCCGGUGGCGAAGGCGGCACGCUGGACCUUUUCUGACGCUGAGGCUCGAAAGCUAGGGGAGCAAACG